Molecule: ribosomal RNA, 508 nt
Filed under: uncultured bacterium
Lineage: Bacteria
Description: partial 16S ribosomal RNA
Rfam family: Bacterial small subunit ribosomal RNA
Source: RNAcentral
AUUGAACGCUGGCGGCAGGCCUAACACAUGCAAGUCGAGCGGCAGCGGGAAAGUAGCUUGCUACUUUUGCCAGCGAGCGGCGGACGGGUGAGUAAUGCCUGGGGAUCUGCCCAGUCGAGGGGGAUAACUACUGGAAACGGUAGCUAAUACCGCAUACGCCCUACGGGGGAAAGCAGGGGACCUUCGGGCCUUGCGCGAUUGGAUGAACCCAGGUGGGAUUAGCUAGUUGGUGAGGUAACGGCUCAGCAAGGCGACGAUCCCUAGCUGGUCUGGGAGGAUGAUCAGCCAGACUGGAACGAAGACACGGUCCAGACUCCUACGGGAGGAAGCAGUGAGGAAUAUUGAACGAUGGGGGAAACCCUGAUGCAGCCAGGCCGCGUGUGUGAAGAAGGCCUUCGGGUUGUAAAGCACUUUCAGCGAGGAGGAAAGGUCAGUAGCUAAUAGCUGCUGGCUGUGACGUUACUCGCAGAAGAAGCACCGGCUAACUCCGUGCCAGCCGCCGCCGUAA